This 403-nucleotide ribosomal RNA is filed under the name bacterium. Its description in RNAcentral is "partial 16S ribosomal RNA". It matches the Rfam family "Bacterial small subunit ribosomal RNA", at positions 355 to 776 of the family's 1533-position model. The record is from RNAcentral.
UGGGGAAUAUUGCACAAUGGGGGAAACCCUGAUGCAGCGACGCCGCGUGAACGAAGAAGGUAUUCGUAUCGUAAAGUUCUGUCCUAUGGGAAGAUAAUGACAGUACCAUAGAAGAAAGCUCCGGCUUAAUACGUGCCAGCAGCCGCGGUAAUACGUAUGGAGCGAGCGUUGUCCGGAAUUAUUGGGCGUAAAGGGUACGCAGGCGGUUUAAUAAGUCGAAUGUUAAAGAUCGGGGCUCAACCCCGUAAAGCAUUGGAAACUGAUAAACUUGAGUAGUGGAGAGGAAAGUGGAAUUCCCAGUGUAGUGGUGAAAUACGUAGAUAUUAGGAGGAAUACCAGUAGCGAAGGCGACUUUCUGGACACAAACUGACGCUGAGGUACGAAAGCGUGGGGAGCAAACAGG